GGGCAUAUAGCUCAGUGGUAGAGUGUGUGCACAAGGUCCUGGGUUCAAUCCCCAGUGCCUCCA
This 63-nucleotide transfer RNA is filed under the name Camelus bactrianus (Bactrian camel). It matches the Rfam family "tRNA". From Rfam's summary of the family: Transfer RNA (tRNA) molecules are approximately 80 nucleotides in length. Their secondary structure includes four short double-helical elements and three loops (D, anti-codon, and T loops). RNAcentral also lists the same sequence under 3 other names. Lineage: Eukaryota; Metazoa; Chordata; Mammalia; Artiodactyla; Camelidae. The record is from Rfam by way of RNAcentral.